RNAcentral lists this ribosomal RNA (460 nucleotides) under uncultured bacterium. RNAcentral describes it as "partial 16S ribosomal RNA". It matches the Rfam family "Bacterial small subunit ribosomal RNA", at positions 338 to 795 of the family's 1533-position model. The record is from RNAcentral.
CCUACGGGAGGCAGCAGUGAGGAACAUUGGUCAAUGGACGAGAGUCUGAACCAGCGAAGUAGCGUGAAGGAUGACUGCCCUAUGGGUUGUAAACUUCUUUUAUAUGGGAGUAAAACAGGGUAUGCAUACCCUCUUGUAUGUACCCUAUGAAUAAGGAUCGGCUAACUCCGUGCCAGCAGCCGCGGUAAUACGGAGGGUCCGAGCGUUAUCCUGAUUUAGUGGGUUUAAAGGGAGCGUAGACGGAUGGUCAAGUCAGUUGUGAAAGUUUGCGGCUCAACCGUAAAAUUGCAGUUGAAACUGGCAGGCUGGAGUACAGUAGAGGUGGGCGGAAUUCGUGGUGUAGCGGUGAAAUGCUUAGAUAUCACGAAGAACUCCGAUUGCGAAGGCAGCUUACUGGACUGUAACUGACACUGAUGCUCGAAAGUGUGGGUAUCAAACAGGAUUAGAUACCCGGGUAGUC